Molecule: ribosomal RNA, 552 nt
Filed under: Triticum aestivum (bread wheat)
Lineage: Eukaryota; Viridiplantae; Streptophyta; Magnoliopsida; Poales; Poaceae
Description: partial small subunit ribosomal RNA
Source: RNAcentral
AUGACUAGAACUCCAGUGUUAGCACUUCCAGAUUUCAAUCAAUCUUUUACAAUCGAAACAGAUGCUUCAGACAUCAGGAUUGGAGCCAUUCUGUCCCAGAAUAAUCAUCCAAUUGCCUUUCUGAGCAGAGCAUUAGGGGUGGCAAACCGACAAUUGUCGGUGUACGAGAAGGAGUUUCUCGCAGUUAUUAUGGCAGUCGAGAAAUGGCUUCCUUAUUUACAGCGAGGGCCCUUCAUGAUUGUUAUAGACCACAAAAGUCUUUGCCAUUUGCAGGAACAACACCUCACCGCUAAUCUUCAGCGCAAGGCUAUGGCUAAAAUGGUGGGCCUCCAAUUUCAAUUCAAAUAUCGCAAGGGCUCCGAGAACGGUGCUGCCGAUGCACUGUCCAGGGUAGGGCAUCUAUACACCAUCUCAGCAGUCUCUAGUUGUCAGCCGUUGUGGAUACAGGAAGUCUUGAAUUCUUACCAGACAGAUGCAGGAGCAUUGGCUCGAUUGACACGUCUAGCAGUGCACACUCCCGAUGAACAAGGUAUUCACUUGAUCAAGGUCUAA